RNAcentral lists this ribosomal RNA (253 nucleotides) under uncultured bacterium. RNAcentral's name for it is "partial 16S ribosomal RNA". It matches the Rfam family "Bacterial small subunit ribosomal RNA", at positions 524 to 776 of the family's 1533-position model. The record is from RNAcentral.
UACGGAGGGGGCGAGCGUCAUUCGGAAUUAUUGGGCGUAAAGGGCGCGUAGGCGGCUGGACAAGUCAAAGGUGAAAUCCCUCGGCUCAACUGAGGAACUGCCUUUGAAACUGUCCGGCUUGAGUCCGGGAGGGGGUAGUGGAAUUCCCAGUGUAGCGGUGAAAUGCGUAGAUAUUGGGAGGAACACCAGUGGCGAAGGCGGCUACCUGGACCGGAACUGACGCUGAUGCGCGAAAGCGUGGGUAGCAAACAGG